GCUAUCAAUGGCAACGGAGUUUGUGCUUCUAAUUCAGGUCUUUCAUAUCACUCUGCUUCGUUGAAAGUGAAAGUCAGCUAGUAAGUUCUAUCUGUGUAGCGAACUAUUUAUUUGGUUAGCGGAAGCCACAAAACGGUAGCUAAGUCAUUGCUUAACAUAUUGUGGUAAGUUUCUUUUCUCCUUUUGGCAAUUAGCCGUAUAAUAAGCAGGAUAAUGUAUAGAACACAGGUCAUUAUCAGGAAAAAAAGUACCUUUGUUUGGGCGAAACAAGACCCCACCGCUUUGUCUCGGGGUCCGGUUCGCCCUGUCGGUACUUAUUUUCCCGAUAGCACUUUACAUUACGGCUCGCUAAUAAGGUGGUAAUUGUAUGGUAAUUUCUAUGUAAUUUCAUCAUAGUCCACCCCAGCUCCCCAAACCAUUGCAUUCGAAAUGCUGGAUUCUUUCUUUUGCACUUUCUCUUACCUGGAUUUAUUGUUAUUUCACUGAGUGAUAUAGAUGUUCAAUGAUGAGGAUCUAUGUAGGUGAGUCUUUAAAGCAGUGUGUGCACUUCAGGGCAGAAUAAUCCCUGCACCAUUGCAGGGGGGCUGGGUAGUCCACCCCAGCUCCCCAAACCAUUGACACAUGUGAAUACCUGGAUUACUCUUUCAGAUCCUUGACACUCGGAUUUUUGAUUGUUUACACUUACUGAAGGAGGUCCAUGUUCAAGCAUAAAUGGAUAUUAUAUUUCCAAUGGCUGUAUAUUUGAGGCAGUCAGUGUACUUCAGGGCAGAAUAAUCCCUGCGCAGCUGGAGGGGAUCUGGGUAGUCCACCCCAGCCCCCCAAAAGACAGAAACCCUCUCAGAAUCACAAUGUGGAAGUGUUGGCCUUCCAACCCUGCUGGAGAUAAGAAGCUAUUGAUAAAGAUCCACCUGCUAGAGGCAUGAGACACAGACGGCCUUACAGCAGCAGUAAGGAUUUCUCCACUGUGAAUCUGCAUGCUGCUGACCAUCCUGAGCUUUACUGUCCGAAUGAAUCUUCCUCGUCAUCCAGGACUCCUCUACUGAGAAUCUCCAUGCUGCUGUGGAUAGAGGCUGUAGACCAUCACCGUGAACACCAUCAGCUUCAGUGAGGAGCUACUGGUGCAGAUCCAUCACUGGCUGCAGAAGGGCUUUCACCACAGCUUCAUGGAUGGAGCUGCCUUUCACACAUGGGAGUACAAAAUGACAGUAGGCCCUAGUUGGAUUUAUUGAGCAACAGGUGCAUUCUGGGGCAGAAUAAUCCCCGCACCAUUGCAGGGGGGCUGGGUAGUCCACCCCAGCUCCCCAAACCAUUGCAUCCAAAAUGCUGGAUUAUUUCUUUUGCACUUUCUCAUACCUGGAAACUGUAUAUUGUUAUUUCAUUGAGGAAUAUACAUUUUCAAGGAUGAGGAUCUAUGUAGGUGAGUCUGUAAAGCAGUGUGUGCACUUCAGGGCAGAAUAAUCCCUGCACCAUUGCAGGGGGGCUGGGUAGUCCACCCCAGCUCCCCAAAAUAUUGACACAUCUGAAGCACUGGAUUACUCUUUCAGCUCCUUGACACUUGGAUUUUGGAUUAUUUACAUUUACUGAGGGGGAGGUCCAUGGAUAUUGUAUUUAUGUGGAUAUAUUUUCGAGGCAGUGUGUGCCCUUCAGGGCAGAAUAAUCCCUGCACCACUGUAGGGGGGGCUGGGUAGUCCACCCCAGCUCCCCAAAUCUAUACAUUUAAAACACUGGAUUAUUGCUUUUUCAUGUUAUGAUAUCUUGAUUUUUGUCAUUUAUCAAUAUUCUUUGAAGAUAUAAACUGCUUGAAUCUGUGAUGCAAUGUGUGCGCAACAGGGCAGAAUAAUCCCUGCACCAUUGCAGGGGGGCUGGGUAGUCCACCCCAGCUCCCCAAACCAUUGCAUUCAAAAUGCUGGAUUAUUCAUUUUGCACUUUCUUUUACCUGGAUGUAUUGUUAUUUCACUGAGUGAAAUAAAUGCUCAAGGAUGAGGAUCUAUGUAGGUGAGUCUGUAAAGCAGUGUGUGCACUUCAGGGCAGAAUAAUCCCUGCACCAUUGCAGGGGGGCUGGGUAGUCCACCCCAGCUCCCCACCCUAUCAUAAUUCCAAGGAUUUACUCUCAUUCACGAUUGGGAGAUUGACCUUCUAUUAUUGCUAAAAAAUAAAUUCACUUGUUGAACCUA
Long non-coding RNA from Sardina pilchardus (European sardine), 2174 nucleotides. RefSeq lists it as uncharacterized. The record is from RefSeq and is a predicted model, not a curated record. NCBI's taxonomy places the organism in Eukaryota, Metazoa, Chordata, Actinopteri, Clupeiformes, Clupeidae. The transcript is spliced from 2 exons.